RNAcentral lists this ribosomal RNA (471 nucleotides) under uncultured bacterium. RNAcentral's name for it is "bacterial SSU rRNA". It matches the Rfam family "Bacterial small subunit ribosomal RNA", at positions 335 to 797 of the family's 1533-position model. The record is from RNAcentral.
ACUCCUACGGGAGGCAGCAGUAGGGAAUCUUCCACAAUGGGCGCAAGCCUGAUGGAGCAACACCGCGUGAGUGAAGAAGGGUUUCGGCUCGUAAAGCUCUGUUGUUAAAGAAGAACACGUAUGAGAGUAACUGUUCAUACGUUGACGGUAUUUAACCAGAAAGUCACGGCUAACUACGUGCCAGCAGCCGCGGUAAUACGUAGGUGGCAAGCGUUAUCCGGAUUUAUUGGGCGUAAAGAGAGUGCAGGCGGUUUUCUAAGUCUGAUGUGAAAGCCUUCGGCUUAACCGGAGAAGUGCAUCGGAAACUGGAUAACUUGAGUGCAGAAGAGGUAGUGGAACUCCAUGUGUAGCGGUGGAAUGCGUAGAUAUAUGGAAGAACACCAGUGGCGAAGGCGGCUACCUGGUCUGCAACGUGACGCUGAGACUCGAAAGCAUGGGUAGCGAACAGGAUUAGAUACCCGUGGUAGGAUA